ACACAUUAUACACCCUGAUUAGCUUCCAGAUCUUGUUCGAUCUUGGAAGCUAAUCAGGGUUGGGCCUGGGGACUUGGGUGGGACGCUGCCUCCCCAGUGGUGUGUUAAAGCCAGUGUGUC
Neolamprologus brichardi is the source of this 120-nucleotide ribosomal RNA. NCBI's taxonomy places the organism in Eukaryota, Metazoa, Chordata, Actinopteri, Cichliformes, Cichlidae. The record is from Ensembl.